RNAcentral lists this transfer RNA (72 nucleotides) under Camelus bactrianus (Bactrian camel). It matches the Rfam family "tRNA". From Rfam's summary of the family: Transfer RNA (tRNA) molecules are approximately 80 nucleotides in length. Their secondary structure includes four short double-helical elements and three loops (D, anti-codon, and T loops). Further hydrogen bonds mediate the characteristic L-shaped molecular structure. tRNAs have two regions of fundamental functional importance: the anti-codon, which is responsible for specific mRNA codon recognition, and the 3' end, to which the tRNAs corresponding amino acid is attached (by aminoacyl-tRNA synthetases). tRNAs cope with the degeneracy of the genetic code in two manners: having more than one tRNA (with a specific anti-codon) for a particular amino acid; and 'wobble' base-pairing, i.e. permitting non-standard base-pairing at the 3rd anti-codon position. The record is from Rfam by way of RNAcentral. Lineage: Eukaryota; Metazoa; Chordata; Mammalia; Artiodactyla; Camelidae. RNAcentral also lists the same sequence under 1 other name.
GGGGUUGUAGCUCAGUGGUAGAGUGUGUGCUUAGCACGCGCGAGGUUCUGGGUUCAAUCCCCGGUACCUCCA